CAAAAUCCUGAUUACAAAAUCAAAAAAUAAUAAAUUAAAACCUAAAAUAAAUAAACCCAUUACACUAGCCCAAACCCUAACCCAAAACCUAAAUUUAAUUUGGCCCACUAGCCUAAAUACCCCUAGCCCAAUAAGCCCAACCCAAACUAAAAACAGAACCAAAAACCCUAGCAGCAUCCAGCUCCUAGCGCAGCAGCAACCAAGCCCUCCCCUGCGCGUGCUGCGCCUCCGCACGCGUACGUCCCUCUGAGCUUGUACCUGCACAGCAAAAAUGGCAACAAACAGCACAGGCAAGGAAAAAAAAAGAACAAGAAAAUCAAAAAUCGCAAAUCAAGGCCAGCAGAUAACAGAAUAUAUUUCUAUUUUCUUGUUUCAUUUUGGCUAUAAAAAGCUAUUGAAAAUUUGUAAAAAGGGGAUUCACAAAUCAAAUAAAAAAAAAGAAUUGAUAUCACAAGCAGAGACUUUAGAUUUAAGGUAGAUUUUGUUUUUUUUUUCUCUUUUUUGGUUUCUAUUUUCGAUUAUUUUUUUUAAAUAAUACAAUAAGUAGUAAAGAAAAGAAAAUAGAAGGGGGUACUCGCCGGAAUGAUCCCGCGCGUUCUUCGUCAGCGUCGAGCACCAUCUAUGAUGGAGUCGCGGCGCAGAGACGUGGACUGGUGGCGGCAGAACCUAGGGCCGAAACCCUAAUAGAGGAAAUUUUAAA
RNAcentral lists this long non-coding RNA (700 nucleotides) under Gossypium raimondii (Peruvian cotton). Its description in RNAcentral is "long non-coding RNA (GRAI_LNC010169)". The record is from RNAcentral. Lineage: Eukaryota; Viridiplantae; Streptophyta; Magnoliopsida; Malvales; Malvaceae.